Molecule: ribosomal RNA, 336 nt
Filed under: Vibrio parahaemolyticus
Lineage: Bacteria; Pseudomonadati; Pseudomonadota; Gammaproteobacteria; Vibrionales; Vibrionaceae
Description: partial 23S ribosomal RNA
Rfam family: Bacterial large subunit ribosomal RNA
Source: RNAcentral
AGUCGGCCUGCGCGGAAGAUGUAACGGGGCUAAGUAGUAAACCGAAGCUGCGGCAAUAUACUUUUGUAUAUUGGGUAGGGGAGCGUUCUGUAAGCGGUUGAAGGUGUGUGGUAACGCAUGCUGGACGUAUCAGAAGUGCGAAUGCUGACAUGAGUAACGAUAAAGGGGGUGAAAAACCUCCUCGCCGGAAGACCAAGGGUUCCUGUCCAACGUUAAUCGGGGCAGGGUAAGUCGACCCCUAAGGCGAGGCCGAAAGGCGUAGUCGAUGGGAAACGGGUUAAUAUUCCCGUACUUCUUACAAUUGCGAUGGGGGGACGGAGAAGGCUAGGUGGGCCU